CCUACGGGUGGCAGCAGUGAGGAAUAUUGGUCAAUGGGCGCGAGCCUGAACCAGCCAAGUCGCGUGAGGGAAGACGGUCCUAUGGAUUGUAAACCUCUUUUGUCGGGGAGCAAAAGACGCCACGCGUGGCGUUCCGAGAGUACCCGAAGAAAAAGCAUCGGCUAACUCCGUGCCAGCAGCCGCGGUAAUACGGGGGAUGCGAUCGUUAUCCGGAUUUAUUGGGUUAAAAGGGUGCGCAGGCGGAAGAUCAAGUCAGCGGUAAAAUUGAGAGGCUCAACCUCUUCGAGCCGUUGAAACUGGUAUUCUUGAGUGAGUGAGAAGUAUGCGGAAUGCGGGGUGUAGCGGUGAAAUGCAUAGAGAUCACGAAGAACUCCGAUUGCGAAGGCAGCAUACCGGCGCUCAACUGACGCUCAUGCACGAAAGUGUGGGUAGCGAACAGGAUUAGAUACCCCAGUAGUC
Molecule: ribosomal RNA, 459 nt
Filed under: uncultured bacterium
Lineage: Bacteria
Description: partial 16S ribosomal RNA
Rfam family: Bacterial small subunit ribosomal RNA
Source: RNAcentral